AUUAAUUUAGUAUAUAAGUAUAUUUAGCUUCCAACUAAAAGGAUUAGAGAUUAAAAUUAAUA
This 62-nucleotide transfer RNA is filed under the name Anaulaciulus koreanus. RNAcentral describes it as "tRNA-Gly". Lineage: Eukaryota; Metazoa; Arthropoda; Diplopoda; Julida; Julidae. The record is from RNAcentral.